This 28-nucleotide non-coding RNA is filed under the name Mus musculus (house mouse). Lineage: Eukaryota; Metazoa; Chordata; Mammalia; Rodentia; Muridae. The record is from RNAcentral.
UGUUGCCACAAGAUGUCAUCUACUUGUU